RNAcentral lists this ribosomal RNA (521 nucleotides) under uncultured bacterium. RNAcentral's name for it is "bacterial SSU rRNA". It matches the Rfam family "Bacterial small subunit ribosomal RNA", at positions 1 to 524 of the family's 1533-position model. The record is from RNAcentral.
GGAUCCAGACUUUGAUUCUGGCUCAGGACGAACGCUGGCGGCGCGCCUAACACAUGCAAGUCGAGCGGGAAGCUUUUUAAGGAUUCUUCGGAUGAAUUAAAAAGUGGAGAGCGGCGGACGGGUGAGUAACGCGUGAGAAACCUGCCCUAUACAGGGGGAUAGCCAUUGGAAACGAUGAUUAAUACCCCAUAUGACCACGGUAUCGCAUGAUACAGCGGUGAAAACUCCGGUGGUAUAGGAUGGUCUCGCGUCUGAUUAGCUAGUUGGUGGGGUAACGGCCUACCAAGGCGACGAUCAGUAGCCGGCCUGAGAGGGUGACCGGCCACACUGGAACUGAGACACGGUCCAGACUCCUACGGGAGGCAGCAGUGGGGAAUAUUGCACAAUGGGCGAAAGCCUGAUGCAGCGACGCCGCGUGAACGAUGAAGGCUUUCGAGUCGUAAAGUUCUGUUCUUGGGGAAGAUAACGACGGUACCCAAGGAGAAAGCACCGGCUAAAUACGUGCCAGCAGCCGCGGUAAU